This 104-nucleotide transfer RNA is filed under the name Schizothecium vesticola. RNAcentral's name for it is "tRNA-Glu". It matches the Rfam family "tRNA". From Rfam's summary of the family: Transfer RNA (tRNA) molecules are approximately 80 nucleotides in length. Lineage: Eukaryota; Fungi; Ascomycota; Sordariomycetes; Sordariales; Schizotheciaceae. The record is from RNAcentral.
UCGGGUAUGGUGUAGCGGUAACAUCGCUGACUCUCAUCACUGUUCGUGGUCCCAGACCACAAUUUGAAUCUCAGCAGCCCGGGGUUCGACUCCCCGUAUCCGAG